Long non-coding RNA from Zophobas morio, 1177 nucleotides. RefSeq lists it as uncharacterized. The transcript has 3 exons. Lineage: Eukaryota; Metazoa; Arthropoda; Insecta; Coleoptera; Tenebrionidae. The record is from RefSeq and is a predicted model, not a curated record.
UGCUUUGAAGAUUAAAAAAAUAACGAGUUAAUAUUGUCUUAAGUUCAGCCAUUUAGGCUUGCGGGGUGGUAAUGGGUUAUAAAACCGCCCAAAGUGGUGUCGGCGCACCAGGCAGCAGCUCUAAGGUUUCUUGGCGACACAGGCCUCUAUUGCUGCUAGUCAGCCACCUUAAAGAGGUCGUUGACGCUCGGAACGCUUUACCGGAAUUUCAAUUGGGAUUUCAGGAAGGGUACCCACCGACCAAGCAGCUCCUCCGCUUAAUUGAACGGACCACACGCGCUUUUAACCAUAAGAAGGCGACAAGAUGUCUUUCUUGACGUUGAAAGGCCAUAUGAUCGUUUGGCAUUAAGGUUUGCUGCACAAACUGCGUUCCUUAUUCGUCCCUCGUGGCCUUUAUAACGUGCUGGAAUCAUAUUUGAAUGGUCGCGUCUUCAGUGUGCGCGUAAGAUUCCCGGUCGCCUCUUUGAUCUCUUUUUUAGCAGGUGCCCUUGCCGUCCGGCUCACGCACACGAAUUGCCCUCUACGCUGAUGAUACGACCGUAAAUUCCACUUCGAAGUCUUCCGCUUAGCUAUGCGAGCAUCCACAGCGCAACCUUGACGCCCUUACUAUCUGGUGCCGUGAUUGGAAGGUUACUAUAAAUGCGAUGAAGAACAAGACUACAUUAAUUUUAAAGAAAUAAGUCCCUAUAUUGGUACCCAUAACUUUUAAUGGUGUGAAGAUUCUAUGGUGUCCUCCAGCGAAAUAAUUGGGAAUCAUCAUUGACAACAAAUGUUCCUGGCGGACUCACGUGGGCUGUAUAGUGACGCAGGUCAAGGCAGCAACCAAUGCGCUUUAUCCUUUACUUUGCGGUAGCGUAAGCUUUCCCUGCGAAAUGAUGCUCUUCACCGGGACCUUCAGCUGGUCCUUUUAAACAUUGCCUUCCAGCGACAUGCUGUGGUUCUUUACGACAGGCUCACCAGGCACCGCUAGUUUUUUUUGUUAAUGUAAAAAAAUAAUGACACCCUGAGUGCUAUUUGUAUUAUAAUUGCGAUCACUCCUGUUUGAGAGCUCGAUAUUCGGUCUUUAACUUCUUUCGAGUACCAUGAACUGCUAUUAAUAAAUAAAUAAAGUAAUUGUACACCGAAAUCUCAACUCCGGGUAAUGGAAAAAGAACAAAAUAAAUGUUUUUUUCCCUCA